This 253-nucleotide ribosomal RNA is filed under the name uncultured bacterium. RNAcentral's name for it is "partial 16S ribosomal RNA". It matches the Rfam family "Bacterial small subunit ribosomal RNA", at positions 524 to 776 of the family's 1533-position model. The record is from RNAcentral.
CACGUAGGGUGCGAGCGUUGUCCGGAAUUAUUGGGCGUAAAGAGCUCGUAGGCGGUUUGUCGCGUCGGCUGUGAAAACUCAGGGCUCAACCCUGAGCCUGCAGUCGAUACGGGCAGACUAGAGUAUGGCAGGGGAGACUGGAAUUCCUGGUGUAGCGGUGAAAUGCGCAGAUAUCAGGAGGAACACCGGUGGCGAAGGCGGGACUCUGGGCCGAUACUGACGCUGAGGAGCGAAAGCGUGGGGAGCAAACAGG